GGAGUAUUCCAUCAGGUACUGGUUGAUUUUCCAUACCAGUACUUAUGUGAUACUCACA
RNAcentral lists this microRNA precursor (58 nucleotides) under Centruroides sculpturatus (bark scorpion). Its description in RNAcentral is "Csc-Mir-12_pre stem-loop". Lineage: Eukaryota; Metazoa; Arthropoda; Arachnida; Scorpiones; Buthidae. The record is from RNAcentral.